AUCUGCUCAAUGAUACAUUUCAAUAGCCGCAACUUUGUUGUGCUAAGGUAGCAUAAUCAUUUGUCUUUUAAUUAAAGACUAGAACGAAAGAUUUAACAUUUUAAUUUCUAUCUAAAAUAUACUAUUCUUAAAUUUUCUUAAAUAUAAAAAGAUAUUUAUACAAAAAAAAGACGAUAAGACCCUAUUGAACUUAACUGAAGUUUAACUGGGGCAGUUAAUUAAAUAAAAUUUUAAUUUAAAUAAUUAACAAUCAAACCUAGUACAAUUAAAUUAUAAUCAAGUUACCAUAGGGAUAACAGCGUAAUAAUUUUCUUAAGAUCUCAUUUAAAAAAUAGUUUGCGACCUCGAUGUUGAAUUAAUUACCUGAUAAAUGCAAUAAUUUAAAUAAGGAAGUCUGUUCGACUUUUAAUUAAUUNC
This 417-nucleotide ribosomal RNA is filed under the name Calilena restricta. Its description in RNAcentral is "partial 16S ribosomal RNA". It matches the Rfam family "Bacterial large subunit ribosomal RNA", at positions 1857 to 2599 of the family's 2925-position model. The record is from RNAcentral. Lineage: Eukaryota; Metazoa; Arthropoda; Arachnida; Araneae; Agelenidae.